AUUGAACGCUGGCGGCAGGCUUAACACAUGCAAGUCGAGCGGGGUGAUGGUGCUUGCACUAUCACUUAGCGGCGGACGGGUGAGUAAUGCUUAGGAAUCUGCCUAUUAGUGGGGGACAACACCUCGAAAGGGAUGCUAGUACCGCAUACGUCCUACGGGAGAAAGCAGGGGAUCACUUGUGACCUUGCGCUAAUAGAUGAGCCUAAGUCGGAUUAGCUAGUUGGUGGGGUAAAGGCCUACCAAGGCGACGAUCUGUAGCGGGUCUGAGAGGAUGAUCCGCCACACUGGGACUGAGACACGGCCCAGACUCCUACGGGAGGCAGCAGUGGGGAAUAUUGGACAAUGGGGGGAUCCCUGAUCCAGCCAUGCCGCGUGUGUGAAGAAGGCCUUAUGGUUGUAAAGCACUUUAAGCGAGGAGGAGGCUCUUUUGGUUAAUACCCAAGAUGAGUGGACGUUACUCGCAGAAUAAGCACCGGCUAACUCUGUGCCAGCAGCCGCCGUAA
RNAcentral lists this ribosomal RNA (503 nucleotides) under uncultured bacterium. Its description in RNAcentral is "partial 16S ribosomal RNA". It matches the Rfam family "Bacterial small subunit ribosomal RNA", at positions 30 to 523 of the family's 1533-position model. The record is from RNAcentral.